UGGUGAUUAUAGAGCGGGGGGUACACCUGAUCCCUUUCCGAACUCAGAAGUUAAGUCCCGCAUCGCCGAUGGUACUGCACACGAGAGUGUGGGAGAGCAGGGUGUCGCCAACAUU
Molecule: ribosomal RNA, 115 nt
Filed under: Candidatus Similichlamydia laticola
Lineage: Bacteria; Pseudomonadati; Chlamydiota; Chlamydiia; Parachlamydiales; Candidatus Parilichlamydiaceae
Source: RNAcentral